Molecule: ribosomal RNA, 497 nt
Filed under: uncultured bacterium
Lineage: Bacteria
Description: partial 16S ribosomal RNA
Rfam family: Bacterial small subunit ribosomal RNA
Source: RNAcentral
GAUGAACGCUGGCGGCGUGCCUAAUACAUGCAAGUCGAGCGAACGGACGAGAAGCUUGCUUCUCUGAUGUUAGCGGCGGACGGGUGAGUAACACGUGGAUAACCUACCUAUAAGACUGGGAUAAUUUCGGGAAACCGGAGCUAAUACCGGAUAAUAUUUUGAACCGCAUGGUUCAAAAGUGAAAGACGGUCUUGCUGUCACUUAUAGAUGGAUCCGCGCUGCAUUAGCUAGUUGGUAAGGUAACGGCUUACCAAGGCAACGAUGCAUAGCCGACCUGAGAGGGUGAUCGGCCACACUGGAACUGAGCCACGGUCCAGACUCCUACGGGAGGCAGCAGUAGGGAAUCUUCCGCAAUGGGCGAAAGCCUGACGGAGCAACGCCGCGUGAGUGAUGAAGGUCUUCGGAUCGUAAAACUCUGUUAUUAGGGAAGAACAUAUGUGUAAGUAACUGUGCACAUCUUGACGGUACCUAAUCAGAAAGCCACGGCUAACUACGUG